RNAcentral lists this long non-coding RNA (291 nucleotides) under Hordeum vulgare. RNAcentral describes it as "long non-coding RNA (HVUL_LNC011963)". The record is from RNAcentral. Lineage: Eukaryota; Viridiplantae; Streptophyta; Magnoliopsida; Poales; Poaceae.
UACUAGUCAUGCAUGCGCCCUCCCAAUUUGCUGCUCAAGCAUUAGUACUAGUAUUUUCUCAGUUGAUUAUGUGCAUUAGCAUUUACACUUGCUACAUCUCAUAACCAAUCGAUGACUGCCUUGGUCCUAGAGAUUUUCAAGCGUGCCUUCUAAACCGUGACGGAGGGAGUACUAAUCUAAGAGGGAUUUUCACAGUUGUACUAAUUACCGUGAAAUUAAGCUGAUGAGCCAUACAAUGAAGCUAUGUGAGAGAGUUAUUGAGCACCGCUUAAGAUGAAUGACAAGUGUGAC